Molecule: transfer RNA, 83 nt
Filed under: Daphnia pulex (common water flea)
Lineage: Eukaryota; Metazoa; Arthropoda; Branchiopoda; Diplostraca; Daphniidae
Description: tRNA-Leu
Rfam family: tRNA
About the family: Transfer RNA (tRNA) molecules are approximately 80 nucleotides in length.
Source: RNAcentral
GUCAAGAUGGCCGAGUGGUUAAGGCGCCAGACUUAAGAUGCUGGUCUUCGAGAAAGGCGUGGGUUCGAACCCCACUCUUGACA